Dermacentor andersoni is the source of this 185-nucleotide small nuclear RNA. RefSeq annotates it as U2 spliceosomal RNA. NCBI's taxonomy places the organism in Eukaryota, Metazoa, Arthropoda, Arachnida, Ixodida, Ixodidae. The record is from RefSeq and is a predicted model, not a curated record.
AUGACCGACGCGGGUCGAAGUGUAGUACCUGUUCUUAUGAGCUUAAUAUCUGGUACGGGUUCUAUUUGGACCCGAGAUAUUAAACUUAUUUUUGCAAGUUGGCUGGCGGAGUGCUGCGAAGCCUGCUUCACCUCCGCGUUGAUUCGGCCCGGUAUUGCACUAUCUCCGGGAUCGGUCCACAGUUU